RNAcentral lists this ribosomal RNA (494 nucleotides) under uncultured bacterium. Its description in RNAcentral is "partial 16S ribosomal RNA". It matches the Rfam family "Bacterial small subunit ribosomal RNA", at positions 28 to 507 of the family's 1533-position model. The record is from RNAcentral.
GACGAACGCUGGCGGCGCGCUUAACACAUGCAAGUCGAACGGAAAGGCCUGCUUUCCCUUGUGGAUUGCGGGUACUCGAGUGGCGAACGGGUGAGUAACACGUGAGUGAUCUGCCCCCAACUUGGGUAUAAGCCUGGGAAACUGGGUCUAAUUCCCGAUAGGACUGCAGGGUGGUGCCUGUGGUGGAAAACGAUUUUCUAGUGGUUGGGGAUGAGCUCGCGGCCUAUCAGCUUGUUGGUGGGGUAAUGGCCUACCAAGGCGGCGACGGGUAGCCGGCCUGAGAGGGUGGACGGCCACAUUGGGACUGGGAUACGGCCCAGACUCCUACGGGAGGCAGCAGUGGGGAAUAUUGCACAAUGGGCGGAAGCCUGAUACAGCGACGCCGCGUGGGGGAUGACGGCCUUCGGGUUGUAAACUCCUUUCGACCGCGAGGAAGCCACCUGGUUGGAAGGGUGGUGACGGUAGUGGUAGAAGAAGCACCGGCUAACUACGUG